AGAUUGAACGCUGGCGGCAUGCCUAACACAUGCAAGUCGAACGGGAGUAGCAAUACUCUAGUGGCGGACGGGUGAGGAAUACGUAGGAAUUUGCCCUUAAGUGGGGGAUAACCCGGGGAAACCCGGAUUAAUACCGCAUGACCUCGAAAGAGCAAAGUGGGGGAUCGCAAGACCUCACGCUUUUGGAGAAGCCUACGUCGGAUUAGCUAGUUGGUGAGGUAAUGGCUCACCAAGGCGACGAUCCGUAACUGGUCUGAGAGGAUGAUCAGUCACACCGGAACUGAGACACGGUCCGGACUCCUACGGGAGGCAGCAGUGGGGAAUAGUUGGACAAUGGGGCGC
This 342-nucleotide ribosomal RNA is filed under the name uncultured soil bacterium. Its description in RNAcentral is "bacterial SSU rRNA". It matches the Rfam family "Bacterial small subunit ribosomal RNA", at positions 26 to 379 of the family's 1533-position model. The record is from RNAcentral.